Molecule: ribosomal RNA, 497 nt
Filed under: uncultured bacterium
Lineage: Bacteria
Description: partial 16S ribosomal RNA
Rfam family: Bacterial small subunit ribosomal RNA
Source: RNAcentral
GAUGAACGCUGGCGGCGUGCCUAAUACAUGCAAGUCGAGCGAACAGAUGAGGAGCUUGCUCCUCUGACGUUAGCGGCGGACGCGUGAGUAACACGUGGAUAACCUACCUAUAAGACUGGGAUAACUUCGGGAAACCGGAGCUAAUACCGGAUAAUAUAUUGAACCGCAUGGUUCAAUAGUGAAAGACGGUUUUGCUGUCACUUAUAGAUGGAUCCGCGCCGCAUUAGCUAGUUGGUAAGGUAACGGCUUACCAAGGCAACGAUGCGUAGCCGACCUGAGAGGGUGAUCGGCCACACUGGAACUGAGACACGGUCCAGACUCCUACGGGAGGCAGCAGUAGGGAAUCUUCCGCAAUGGGCGAAAGCCUGACGGAGCAACACCGCGUGAGUGAUGAAGGUCUUCGGAUCGUAAAACUCUGUUAUUAGGGAAGAACAAAUGUGUAAGUAACUAUGCACGUCUUGACGGUACCUAAUCAGAAAGCCACGGCUAACUACGUG